UACGGGGGGGGCAAGCGUUAUUCGGAAUCACUGGGCUUAAAGGGUGCGUAGGCGGCGCGGAAAGUUGGGUGUGAAAUCCCUCGGCUCAACCGAGGAACUGCGCCCAAAACUACCGUGCUCGAGGGAGAUAGAGGAGAGCGGAACUUAGGGUGGAGCGGUGAAAUGCGUUGAUAUCCUAAGGAACACCGGUGGCGAAAGCGGCUCUCUGGACCGAGACUGACGCUGAGGCGCGAAAGCGUGGGGAGCAAACAGG
Molecule: ribosomal RNA, 253 nt
Filed under: uncultured bacterium
Lineage: Bacteria
Description: partial 16S ribosomal RNA
Rfam family: Bacterial small subunit ribosomal RNA
Source: RNAcentral